AUAUGCCUUUAGGUGGGGGACAACAGUUGGAAACGACUGCUAAUACCGCAUAAUGUCUACGGACCAAAGAGGGGGACCUUCGGGCCUCUUGCCUUUAGAUUAGCCCAAGUGAGAUUAGCUUGAUGGUGGGGUAAUGGCCUACCAUGGCGACGAUCUCUAGCUGGUUUGAGAGGAUGAUCAGCCACACUGGGACUGGGACACGGCCCAGACUCCUACGGGAGGCAGCAGUGGGGAAUAUUGCACAAUGGGCGAAAGCCUGAUGCAGCCAUGCCGCGUGUGUGAAGAAGGCCUUCGGGUUGUAAAGCACUUUCAGUCGUGAGGAAAGGGUAUUGUUUAAUACGCAAUAUCUGUGACGUUAGCGACAGAAGAAGGACCGGCUAACUCCGUGCCAGCAGCCGCGGUAAUACGGAGGGUCCGAGCGUUAAUCGGAAUUACUGGGCGUAAAGCGUGCGUAGGCGGUUCAUUAAGUCAGAUGUGAAAUCCCGGGGGCUCAACCUCGGAACUGCAUUUGAAACUGGUGAACUAGAGUAUUGUAGAGGGUGGUGGAAUUUCCGGUGUAGCGGUGAAAUGCGUAGAGAUUGGAAGGAACAUCAGUGGCGAAGGCGGCCACCUGGACAAAUACUGACGCUGAGGCACGAAAGCGUGGGGAGCAAACAG
RNAcentral lists this ribosomal RNA (657 nucleotides) under uncultured bacterium. RNAcentral's name for it is "bacterial SSU rRNA". It matches the Rfam family "Bacterial small subunit ribosomal RNA", at positions 124 to 775 of the family's 1533-position model. The record is from RNAcentral.